GACCUUGUGAUCUGCCUGUCUCAGCCUUCCAAAGUGCAGGAUUACAGGUGUGAGCCUCGGUGCCUGGCCUGUUUUUCAUCCUUUUAAUAUUGACUGUUACGUUUAUGCUUUACAUUGGAUAUACUUAGAACUCUUCAAGUACCAUAUAAGCACUAUCUUUCUAAUCGUCUACUGAUCAUGUCUUAAUAAUUGGUUUCAGAUUAUGCCAAAUACUCUUGGUCUUGCUUAACUUGAUAAUUCAGGGUAGAAUUUAAAAAGUUUCAGGAUUAGGAGUCAUCCUCCUAAAUCAGAGAGUAAUUAGUUGAAAUCACAAAAGCAUGAGGUACUGUACUGCUAGAGGAAAGCAAAAAAUAACAUGUGGAACCACAAAUGUUUUGUCUACAUAGGAAUUUUGCUCCACCACCACCACUUAACAGCUUUCCCCCCUCAAUGGGAGUACAUCUCAGUUUUUAAGGUAAUUUAUUAGAAUUGCUAUUAUAAAAAUUUAUUUCUUAGCAGACUUUGCUAGAACACAUUUAUCCUAAAUAAAAGGAGAUAGUUGACUUAGCAGAGAAAAAGACCCUAAAAGAAAACAUUUGUUUUAUUACAAGCACCCAGGAGGAUUUUUUAUAAACAUGAACGAUAACUUUCCUCUAACCUAAGUAAAUAUUUCAGGACAAAUGUACGUUAAGUGAUUAUAGUAAUGCGUGUGCAGAGACUGGCAGUACAGUUAGCAGCCUCAUAUACGACUUGCUAGUAUGCCACACUGCUUUGGCCUUUUUCUGAGUAACCCUCUCUCUGGAAGUCCUUGAAAUGCGUAACUUCGUCAGGGAGAUUCUUAGCCCCCGAAAAGACGUGUAUCUUUUUAGCUUAGUAUUCUGAGAUGUUCUCACAUCCAAAGUAAACAUUGUUAAGUGAUACGGACCAGUCCUAAAGUAAAUGAUAUAUUAAGUGCACAAUUCUUGUUCAAACUGAAAUUUGAAGUUGUUGUCAUUCUUUGCAUCCACACUACUGGAUUCUAUGCAGAUAGGGGGAUUUCUGCUUCUACAUUUUACUGUAAUGAUUUACAUUUACCUGUGUUGAGAGGAAAUUCUAUAUUGUAGCAAGUUAAAACACAUGAUUUUGGCAAAAAAGUAAAAACUGUUAAGAUCUUGGAGCCCACAUUUAUUUGUUGUGGAAAUUUGGAGCUAGGAAGGAUGGGAUGCUCCCUUCUCUGUCUCUGUGUUCUGUUUAUUGUGAGGUGUAUAUUGAUAAUGCAUUUGUGAAGAAAGGCAUUCUUUAAUGACUUAGCAGAGAAAAAAGUGAUAGUAAUUUUAUCCAUGUGUCUCCAGGUGACUGGUACUGUGUUUUGCUUUCUGCUCUUUUCAUUUCUCCAGAGCCACUCGUAAAAUCUUUCUGCAGUUAAUGGUUCAUUAUAGUCCAAUUUUCAUUGCUUUCUAAGAUUUGAACUUUGAAUCUGAAUGUCAGCCCCCGUCUAAAAGCAGUCAUCUUUCAGUUCUGAAGCUCCUCUGAUAUCUUUCAGACCCUUCAAGGAGCACUAGGUUUGAGGAUGAUAACAUUUGCUCGUUGUCAUUGGACCUGAAGGUGCAUAGAAAGAAAUGCUAUGUUGGAUCUCAGUAUACUAAUAACAGUCCUGCAGGCUGCAUUUGCAGUUUCCUUUCUGCAUGAAAUCUUGUUAGUGUCCUCCUGCAUUUCUGGCUUUCUCCCAUUCUGGUUGCUUCUUCCCCUUCCUGCUCCCUUAAGAAAAAAAAAAAAAAUGGUUAGCCAGUUCGGUGAAGUUUUCUCAGAAAUUUUUUGUGGACAGUGCUAACUUAAGCAAGAAAACAGUUUGUGACACUUGACUUUUCAAGGAGGAGAUAAGGUUUUGUGUACCCAGACUGUAUAUAUCAAUUAUUACGGGGCUAAACUUUGAAAGUAUGAUUAAUUCCCCUGCAAGUAUUUACCAAACCUUGUCAGAUUUUAAUCCUAUUUCUUGAAUUACUUUGAAAAAAGGUCACAUACUACAUACACAUUAUUUGCAUUAUGAGGAUUGCCCAUACUAAUAAGAGAUUUCUGUUCGUUCCAGUUAAAUCUUACUCCUGGUUUUGCAAGUGUAUUCAGGCCUGGCAUGGUUGGCAGUGACUCAGCUGGGGUGGGCAGGGCAGUCUCCUGCCUGCCCCACCUGUGUUUCGCUGCCUGUUUCCCUGUGACCUAGGCUGAGCAAUACAAAUAUCAUUGACAACACUGACAGUGCUUUUUUUGAUCUGCGCCUGCCCUGGCUGAUUCCAUUUUGUGGCCCUUUGAUUUAAGAUGCAGUUAGAACCAGUGGCUCCUCACUGUAUUCAGUCAUUCAUUCUAAUAUUUAUCAAGCAUUUACUGUUGUGCCAGGUACUGAAGAUAAAGCAGUAAAAAAGGCCCUGUCUCUGCACUCAGUGAGGUUUUAUUCAUAUAGAAACAAAUGUACAAAGUAAUUUCAGAAAACGGUACCAAGAAAUUAAAAUAGAGUAAAAUGGCUUAGUGAGUGACUGGGCAGGUUGGGACAUUGGUUGGCACCACGUUGGGGAAAUGACCCUGAAUGGUGAUGAGGACCUGACCAUGAGAAGGGCAUUUUGGGCUGAAGGACACCAAAUGCUAAGGUGCUGAGUGGGGCAGGCCAGUGUGGCUGGACAUAGUGGAUGAGGAUCAGAGUGGUAGAAAAUGAGGUAGGUGGGGGUCAGAUUUUAUUCCAAUUUCAGCAGAAAGCCGCCAGACAGCCUUAAAUGGAGGAGUAAUAUACCACCACCGUUGGCCUGUAUUUGGAGAAUGUCUGACAUAAAAUUUCCUACCAGUGAAAAGAGAGAAGGCGGAUGCAGUGGGGCAUGUCUGUAGUCCCAGCUAUUUAGGAGACUGAGGCUGGAGGAUCACUCAAGGCUGGGAGUGUGAAGCUGUGGUGUGUACUGUGAUUGCACCUGUGAGCAGCCGCUACACUCCACCCUGAGCAACAUAGUGACAUCCUCAUUUUAAAAAAUCAGGAUUCAGUGUUUUGGAAAAAUUAUGUUAAAAAAUGGAGGUUAUUCAGAUAAAAUUACAGAGGUUAUUCUGUAAAACUUUUUUGGCAUUAUAAGCAGUUUUACUGACUUUUAUGUAAUAGUUCUAUUAUAUCUAGACAUCUGUGUAUCAAACACACCUGAAGAUAUGUUACCCCAAAUUGGCAUCUCAACCAGUGAAAGGAAGUAUAGCCCACUCACCUGGUCUUGACGUAAUGGUUGGAUGACGUAUGGGUGUUUGUAAUGCAUAGGUAGCAUUUAAAGCUGACAGAAACAGCUUUUUCGUUGUCCUUGUAGUGUGCUUGCCUUGGUUCCGGGCUGUCCACCUGAAGUGAAGACAGCCUGAGUCUGGCCAUGGGGAAGCAUCAAGAGUUUGGCUUCUCCUUCUUCAGAGCAGCAACAGCAAAUGACACAGCAGCGAAGCUAGGAGAGUUGGGCAGCUUGGAAACGGGGAACCUCAGCAGUCUGGGAGGCGGCGUGCCAGAACUCCUCCCAGCCCUCGCUUGCUUAUCUGUCAUAUCUAAAAGACGUACCUCUACAGUGUGAAACCCCAAAUCUGUGAUAUGACUGGAGGGAGAAUGCUUUCCAGUUGACUUGAUUAGGUAGACGCUCGCUUUUGUGGAGUUGUAAUUUUUUCAUAGUUUUUUGUUAUGACAGCUGGAAUAUUUGUCGUAAAGGGGAGGUGUAAACAUGUAAUAAGGCUAAUGAAGAGAUUGGAGUAGCAAUGUAAUCAUUCUUAGACGUAUUUGAAACUUUAGGUACUAAAUCUCUUUUUGAUAUAUAUGCUAUAAAAAUGACUUAUAAAAUGAAAUGUAAUUCUAGCGUAUCUUAAACUGUUGCCAGGAGGUUUUUGGUGACACUGAUAAGAAAUUAUAUCGUUUCUUGCAGAAGGGUCAUUUGUCUUGGUAAAGGACCAGUUUCUCAUGACUCCCUGCCCCACUUCCCCCAGCUGAUAAACAGCUAAGAAAAGCAGUCUUAGGACAUUUCUUUUCACUUACCCAUUAUAAAAACUUACAAUUUUUAAAGGGACAAAAUUUCAAUGCAGAUGUAACGUGGCUAUUUGCUCAAAGGGAAACACCACCAAAUAAUAAUAAU
Molecule: long non-coding RNA, 4079 nt
Organism: Sapajus apella (tufted capuchin)
Lineage: Eukaryota; Metazoa; Chordata; Mammalia; Primates; Cebidae
Exons: 2
Source: RefSeq, a predicted model, not a curated record